Long non-coding RNA from Oncorhynchus tshawytscha (Chinook salmon), 3509 nucleotides. Lineage: Eukaryota; Metazoa; Chordata; Actinopteri; Salmoniformes; Salmonidae. The record is from Ensembl.
CCAUUUUGAAUUCAGGCUUUAACAACAAAAUGUGGAACAGGUCAAAGUGGUAUAAAUACUUUGACGGGACUGUAUGAAUGUAGAUAAUAGAAAGUGUUGCUGAACAUUUUAUUUGUUUUCGAAUAUUUUAUAAUAAUAAAAAAUAACAUUAAUCUCAGAAGUAAAACUCAAUAGAAAACAGCACUGAUGGUGAUAGAAAUAUAGAUGUUUUAUAACAAAAAUGACAUUACGUCUGGUAAAUGACUCAAAUAUAAAAAGGUACAACUCCAUAGAAAGCACUGGUUAAGAUUGAUAUAGAUGUUUAUGUUUUUGUAUUGGGAAAAAAAAAACAUUCCACCCAGUAGUAAAAUUCAAUGUUUAUUGGCCACACAUCAAAACAGUAUGUUUUUCAUUUCAAGAGGGAAUGUAUAAGGUAUAGACUAUGAAAGUGCAAAUAGUAUUUCAAGGAUUAGUUGCUUUAUAAUAAAAAUCUAAUGGCUUUCAACAACAUUUGCCUUUUUAAAAUUUUUAUAUAUUUUGUAAAAAGUAAAAUGCCAAGAAAAUCCAAAUUCAAAUGUAAUUUCAUGUUUUACUCAUUUCAUGCACAGCUGAAACUGUUACAUCAAGGACAAAUCAAUUAUCAUGACUGAAGUCCCACAAGUUCACCAGCUUCGUGUACGGAACUCACAGCUUGACGUUUGCAAGACCACGCUUCAAUGCAAUAAGUUUCUUCAGCUAUUCUUCAAUAGUCACUUUACAAUUAUGUCCAAUACAAAUCACACUAGGUUUGGCUAAAGAUCAAUUCCUUCCAAUACAAAUCACACUAGGUUUGGCUAAAGAUCAAUUCCAAAAUGUGAAACAUUGAAAUAUCAAUAUCAUUUAUAAUUCAUUAAUACUUUAUAUAGGCAACAAAUCAAUACAACUAUUUUUUCUUUCAAAAUUAGUUAUUCAGUAUAUCUCGAUAUCCAUUUUCAAAUCGUAAUUAGAAACUUUCAAUUUAAUUAAAUACGUCUGUUUUCCCCCCACUGUCCUGCAUUGUGUUUUCUGCUCCAGGAUACAUUUUAUAAAUACUUUUCCCCUAAAAGUCAAACACUCGUUAUCAACUUGUAGAUCAGUUAUCGAACCCACAGAUAAUCCAAGAACAACCCACCAAAGCCCAUCCGCAACGAAAUAACUAACAAACCAGUAAAACAGUAUUCAAUAUCAUCAGGUCAAAAUCAGAGAUGUAAUUUAUAAAACAUUAUAUAAAAUAAAACACUCUGGGGAAAGAACUUGAUACCACACUAAAGAGAGGCUACAAUUAUAAAAAUUUAUUUUUAAAAAAAGUAUCAGGUUUGGACACGUGUUAGUGUUGUGAGUGGAAUUUCUAUAACGUGUGUUUGUAGUUUGUACACUACAUGACCAAAAGUAUGUGGACACCUGCCCGUCCAACAUCUCAUUGCAAAAAACAUGGGUAUUACAUAUGGAGUUGGUCCUCCCCUUUGCUGCUAUAACAGCCUCCUCUCUUCUGGGAAGGCUUUCCACUAGAUGUUGGAACAUUGCUGCUAUAACAGCCUCCUCUCUUCUAGGAAGGCUUUCCACUAGAUGUUGGAACAUUGCUGCUAUAACAGCCUCCUCUCUUCUGGGAAGGCUUUCCACUAGAUGUUGGAACAUUGCUGCUAUAACAGACUCCUCUCUUCUGGGAAGGCUUUCCACUAGAUGUUGGAACAUUGCUGAGGGGACUUUCUUCCAUUCAGUCACAAGAGCAUUAGUGAGGUCAGUGCAUUGAUGUUGGGCGAUUAGGCCUCCUGGCUCGCAGUCUGCGUUCCAAUUCAUCCCAAAGGUGUUCGAUGGGGUUGAGGUCAGGGCUCUGUGCAGGCCAGUCAAGUUCUUCUACACUGAUCUCGACAAACCAUUUCCGUAUGGACCUCGCUUUGUGAACGGGGGCAUUGUCAUGCUGAAACAGGAAAGGGCCUUCCCCAAAACAUUUGUCUCAAAGUUGGAAGCAGAGAAUCAUCUUGAAUGUCAUUGUCUGCUGUAGCAUUAAGAUUUCCCUUCACUGGAACUAAGGGACCCGAACCAUGGAAAACAGCCCCAGACCAUUAUUCUUCCUCCACCAAACUUUACAGUUGGCACUAUGCAUUCAGGCAGGUAGCGUUCUCCUGGCAUUCGCCAAACCCAGAUUCAUCCGUCAGACUGCCAGAUGGUGAAGCGUUUCCACUACUCCAGAAUCCAAUGGUGGUGAGCUUUACACCACUCCAGCCGACGCUUGGCUUUGCGCAUGGUGAUCUUAGGCUUGUGUGCGGCUGCUCGGCCAUGGAAACCCAUUUCAUGAAGCUCCCAACGAACAGUUCUUGUGCUGACGUUGCUUCCAGAGGCAGUUUGAAACUCGGUAGUGAGUGUUGCAACCGAGGUCAGACGAUUGUUACGUGCCAAGCGCUUCAGCACUCGGGUGGUCCCGUUCUGUGAGCUUAUGUGGCCUACCACUUAGCGGCUGAGCCGCUCUGUAAUAACAGAACUUACAGUUGACCGGGGGGCAGCUCUAGCAGGGCAGAAAUUUGACAAACUGACUUGUUGGAAAGGUGGCAUCCUACGAUGGUGCCACGUUGAACGUCAAUGAGCUCUUCACUAAGGCAAUUCUACUACCAGUGUUUGUCUAUGGAGAUUGCAUGGAGGCAUGCUCAAUUUUAUACACCUGUCGGCAACAGAUGUCUGAAAUAGACGAAUCCACUCAUUUGAAGGGGUGUCCACAUACUUUUGUAUAUAUAGUGUAGCUAGACACGAUUACUUACUGUAAGACCUCUGUAAAAUGUGGCAAUACAUUUAAAAAGAUUGACAUAAAGGCACUGUAAUGAAUUGCGUAGAGAACCAUUUUUUACCCCUCUACUGUAGUUGCUGAGUCCCAUCAAGGCUUAAAACUUUCGUAACAGGUUUAUAUAUAUAUAUCUUUAUAAAACGGGCCGGUUUCCUCAUUCGGCCUAAACCUAGUUCUGGGCUAGAGAGCAGUGGUGAAUGGACAUUCUCCAUUGAAAGUGAUGUUUAGUCCAGGACCAAGGGGUCGUCUGAGAAAGCAGCCCUAUAAUAGUUCAGAAUGAACCAGUGACAUCAUUAUUAGGUAAAAAACAUGAACAACGUAUCUGAUUACAAUUCUCCUCUUAACUACUGUUGUUUUCCUAUUGGAGUGAACAGCAGCAGAUUGUUCCUCUCUAUUGUCCCUUCAGGGCUACUGGCCUCGUCCAUCUUCAUGAAGACAGUCUUCUAAUGGGUUCUAGCCUCGUCCAUCUUCACGAAGACAGUCUUCUAAUGGGUUCUGGCCUCGUCCAUCUUCACGAAGACAGUCUUCUAAUGGGUUCUAGCCUCGUCCAUCUUCACGAAGACAGUCUUCUAAUGGGUUCUGGCCUCGUCCAUCUUCAUGAAGACAGUCUUCUAAUGGGUUCUGGCCUCGUCCAUCUUCAUGAAGACAGUCUUCUAAUGGGUUCUAGCCUCGUCCAUCUUCAUGAAGACAGUCUUCUAAUGGGUUCUAGCCUCGUCCAUGAAGACAGUCUUCUAAU